Molecule: ribosomal RNA, 1298 nt
Filed under: metagenome
Description: bacterial LSU rRNA
Rfam family: Bacterial large subunit ribosomal RNA
Source: RNAcentral
CACCCGUACCCCAAACCGACUCAGGUGAUCAGGUAGAGAAUACUAAGGAGAUCGAGAGAAUCGUGGUUAAGGAACUCGGCAAAAUGCCCCCGUAACUUCGGGAGAAGGGGGGCCCGAGGCGUGUAGGAAUUUACUUCUGAAGCGCUGUAGGGCCGCAGAGACCAGUGGGAAGCGACUGUUUAUUAAAAACACAGGUCCGUGCUAAGUCGCAAGACGAUGUAUACGGACUGACGCCUGCCCGGUGCUGGAAGGUUAAGAGGAAGGGUUAGCGUAAGCGAAGCUCAGAAUUUAAGCCCCAGUAAACGGCGGUGGUAACUAUAACCAUCCUAAGGUAGCGAAAUUCCUUGUCGGGUAAGUUCCGACCUGCACGAAUGGCGUAACGACUUCCCAGCUGUCUCAACCGCGAACUCGGCGAAGUUGCACUACGAGUAAAGAUGCUCGUUACGCGCAGAAGGACGGAAAGACCCCGUGACCUUUACUACAGUUUGGUAUUGGUGUUCGGGGUGGCUUGUGUAGGAUAGGUGGGAGACUGUGAAGCUUGGACGCUAGUUCAGGUGGAGUCAUUGUUGAUAUACCACUCUGGUCACUUUGGAUAUCUAACUACGAACCCUGAUCGGGUUCUGGGACAGUGCCUGAUGGGUAGUUUAACUGGGGCGGUUGCCUCCCAAAAAGUAACGGAGGCGCCCAAAGGUUCCCUCAACCUGGUUGGUAAUCAGGUGGCGAGUGUAAGUGCACAAGGGAGCUUGACUGUAAGACUGACAAGUCGAGCAGGGACGAAAGUCGGGACUAGUGAUCCGGCAGUGGCUUGUGGAAGCGCUGUCGCUCAACGGAUAAAAGGUACCUCGGGGAUAACAGGCUGAUCUUGCCCAAGAGUCCAUAUCGACGGCAUGGUUUGGCACCUCGAUGUCGGCUCGUCGCAUCCUGGGGCUGGAGUAGGUCCCAAGGGUUGGGCUGUUCGCCCAUUAAAGCGGUACGCGAGCUGGGUUUAGAACGUCGUGAGACAGUUCGGUCCCUAUCCUCUGCGCGCGCAGGAAAUUUGAGAGGAUCUGACCCUAGUACGAGAGGACCGGGUUGGACGAACCUCUGGUGUGUCAGUUGUUCCGCCAGGAGCACCGCUGAUUAGCUACGUUCGGAAUGGAUAACCGCUGAAAGCAUCUAAGCGGGAAGCCGGCCUCAAGAUGAGAUUUCCAUACCCUUCGGGGUGAGAGACUCCCAGCUAGACUACUGGGUAGAUAGGCAGGAUGUGGAAGAGCGGACUAAAGACGCUUGGAGCUGACCUGUACUAAUAAGUCGAUAAC